This 80-nucleotide small RNA is filed under the name Flavobacterium lacus. Its description in RNAcentral is "Flavo-1 RNA". Lineage: Bacteria; Pseudomonadati; Bacteroidota; Flavobacteriia; Flavobacteriales; Flavobacteriaceae. The record is from RNAcentral.
UUUUGCCCCCGACAGAGGCGGAAAGCAUUUUGAAAAUGCCAAGCCAACAAAAAAUCUUGGAGAGAAUGGCGGGAUAAGGC